AGAGUUUGAUCAUGGCUCAGGAUGAACGCUAGCGGCAGGCCUAACACAUGCAAGUCGGACGGUAACAUGAGGUGCUUGCACUUUGAUGACGAGUGGCGCACGGGUGCGCAACGCGUAUAGAACCUACCCUGUACAGGGGGAUAGCCCAGAGAAAUUUGGAUUAAUACCCCGUGGUAAAUAUAAAUGGCAUCGUUUAUAUUUUAAAGUUUUCGGACGGUACAGGAUGGCUAUGCGUCCUAUUAGUUAGAUGGUGAGGUAACGGCUCACCAUGGCAGCGAUAGGUAGGGGCCCUGAGAGGGGGAUCCCCCACACUGGUACUGAGACACGGACCAGACUCCUACGGGAGGCAGCAGUGAGGAAUAUUGGACAAUGGGCGCAAGCCUGAUCCAGCCAUGCCGCGUGCAGGAAGACGGCCCUAUGGGUUGUAAACUGCUUUUAUACGGGAAGAAUAAGGGACACGUGUGUCCUGGUGACGGUACCGUAAGAAUAAGGACCGGCUAACUCCGUGCCAGCAGCCGCGGUAAUACGGAGGGUCCGAGCGUUAUCCGGAAUUAUUGGGUUUAAAGGGUCCGCAGGCGGGCAAUUAAGUCAGGGGUGAAAUGGUGCGGCUCAACCGUAGCACUGCCCUUGAUACUGGUUGUCUUGAGUCAUAGUGAAGUGGCCGGAAUAUGUAGUGUAGCGGUGAAAUGCAUAGAUAUUACAUAGAACACCGAUUGCGGAGGCAGGUCACUAACUAUCGACUGACGCUGAUGGACGAAAGCGUGGGGAGCGAACGGGAUUAGAUACCCCGGUAGUCCACGCCGUAAACGAUGGAUACUAGCUGUCCGCUACCUUGAGUAGUGG
This 843-nucleotide ribosomal RNA is filed under the name uncultured bacterium. Its description in RNAcentral is "bacterial SSU rRNA". It matches the Rfam family "Bacterial small subunit ribosomal RNA", at positions 8 to 842 of the family's 1533-position model. The record is from RNAcentral.